This 203-nucleotide ribosomal RNA is filed under the name uncultured Acidobacteriota bacterium. Its description in RNAcentral is "uncultured Acidobacteria bacterium partial 16S ribosomal RNA". It matches the Rfam family "Bacterial small subunit ribosomal RNA", at positions 330 to 524 of the family's 1533-position model. The record is from RNAcentral. Lineage: Bacteria; Pseudomonadati; Acidobacteriota.
UUCGGGGGCCUACGGGAGGCAGCAGUGAGGAAUCUUGCGCAAUGGGCGAAAGCCUGACGCAGCGACGCCGCGUGGACGAUGAAGGCCUUCGGGUCGUAAAGUCCUGUCGGGUGGGAAGAACGGGUUCGGGGCUAAUAUCCCCGGUCCCUGACUGUACCACCAGAGGAAGCCCCGGCUAACUCCGUGCCAGCAGCCGCGGUAAU